UGGAGAGAAGGAGUGUGUGUUCACAGGAUUAUUGCUGAAUAAGCCUCCAGGGAGGGGAAACCUUGAAGUCUCUUACAGGAAGUCUUUGGGUAUUUGUCGACCAGUUCCAUGAUUUCAACAAAAAGGGAACUUCACUGUUGCAUGUGUGAGAGGCGUUCAAGACAAACUACAUGACUUCACCAACGGAACAGUCCUUGACCCACAUCGCAGGAGCUCUGUUUGAUCAUGCUUGCCAACAACACUUGUGUCCAUGGAAAUUACACGGCUGAAUGUCCCCCCCGUGGCUCCCCUGCAGGUCUGGCCUCAGGUCUGACAAUCUUCUUCUUGCUGCUGGUGAUCGCAGCUUGUUUGAUCAUAUACAAAUACCACAGCACCAUCAGGAAUAUGAUACCGUUGGGGCGCACAAGAAGCGUGAAGAAGGAGGAAUACAUAGAGACGCCACAAGCUGAUCAACAUACGUAUACUUCUUUGACCAAAGACCAACCAACAGCACAGGCCCCAAUUUAUGAAAACCUGAACACCAGAGCCAACAGGCAGCCAGCAAAACCAAGCAGGUCAUUGAGAGAACCCGAGGAGGAUUUGUAUCUGCAGUGUGAUGGAGGCCUACCAGAUGAUGCAAUAUACAGCAACGAUCCGACUUGUAAUCUCUCCAUCCUCCCUGACCCCCAAGAAGACGAAGAUGUCUAUAUAAUGCCAGAUGUAUUAUAGGAAAAACUGCAAACUUUUGCUCAUUUUACUGUGCAGCUCAGGGUUUAAGUGUACACUUUAAUCAAGGCAACAACGCUGCCUUUGAGAGUGUGAAGCUUCUAAAUAUUCAGGUGUAUGAUCUUUGUGUGUUAAAUGUUAUGGUGUUAUAAACAAUGUUGCAUUUGAUUCUUUAUCUCUUGAAUUUGUUGAGUAGUGUUGAAACAUGAUGAAUAUCUGCUAUUACAUUCUCUUGAGUGACCUGUUUAUCAGGGGGUCAUGUGGUGAAAACACUGAGGUCAGUUUUUGUAUCAGCAGGUUUGAAUUUGCAUUACAUUUAGAAAACAUUUAAGAAGUAUAAAAAUGUAUUUAAUGUUUUUCUUCACAGUGUUAACUAUGGCAUGUACAAUAAAUCUUCAAAUCUAAAGUUCUUGCUUGAAAACUAAGAAAUUCUGUGACUAGAAUAUGCCUCACAUGUGUAAAUAAAAGGAUGUUUGCAUACUUG
Long non-coding RNA from Notolabrus celidotus (New Zealand spotty), 1189 nucleotides. RefSeq lists it as uncharacterized. NCBI's taxonomy places the organism in Eukaryota, Metazoa, Chordata, Actinopteri, Labriformes, Labridae. The record is from RefSeq and is a predicted model, not a curated record. The transcript has 4 exons.